AUUAAAAAGUAAGGGAUGAAGGCUUUCAAAAUAUACAUCUUAGAGAAAUUCAAAAGCUAAUAGACACCAAACCACAAUAGAGGAAUUCACAGAAGAUGAUUUGAUGGAGAUGAGUGUUUACAAUCCAGUGCCAGAUGGUGAAGAAAAAGACGAAGAAGAAACAGCGCCAGAAAAUAAACUGACAUUAGGCAAUCUGUCAAAAGAGUUAUGUUGAAGACCGCUUUUGACUUCUUUUAUGACAUGGACCUUUCUACGAUAUGGGCACUGAAACUAAAGCAAAUGGUGGAAGAAGCCUACUCAAUGGGGAAACCAUGAGGAUGAAGACUUUUAUAAUGAUUCAUUUCCACUUCAUAAACAAGAAUACAGAGGCCUGAGAAGAGGAUGGGAGAUGGGGGAACAGCCAGCCGGUGGAGCAGUCAGAACACAUAAAGCAAUUGUUGAUUAAGUGUGCCAUCUUACACAAGUAUGGUUCAUG
Long non-coding RNA from Homo sapiens (human), 475 nucleotides. RefSeq lists it as uncharacterized. NCBI's taxonomy places the organism in Eukaryota, Metazoa, Chordata, Mammalia, Primates, Hominidae. The record is from RefSeq and is a predicted model, not a curated record. The transcript is spliced from 3 exons.